Molecule: ribosomal RNA, 773 nt
Filed under: uncultured Neocallimastigales
Lineage: Eukaryota; Fungi; Neocallimastigomycota; Neocallimastigomycetes; Neocallimastigales
Description: partial large subunit ribosomal RNA
Rfam family: Eukaryotic large subunit ribosomal RNA
Source: RNAcentral
AGAGAGAGACAUGCGCGCAUAUCAAUAAGCGGAGGAAAAGAAACUAACAAGGAUUCCCUUAGUAACGGCGAGUGAAGCGGGAAGAGCUCAAAUUUGAAAUCUUCAAGGUUUUACCUUGACGAAUUGUAGUUUAAGGAAGUGUUUUCUGCUGAAGUUUUGGUAAAAGUUCUUUGGAAUAGGACAUCAUAGAGGGUGAGAAUCCCGUAUUUGACCAUUAUUUCAGCUUUGUGAUACACUUUCAAAGAGUCGGAUUGUUUGGGAAUGCAGUCCAAAAUGGGUGGUAAAUUUCAUCUAAAGCUAAAUAUUGGCGAGAGACCGAUAGCGAACAAGUACCGUGAGGGAAAGAUGAAAAGAACUUUGAAAAGAGAGUUAAACAGUACGUGAAAUUGUCAAAAGGGAAGCGUUUGACACCAGUGUUGUUUUCUCGAAAAUCAAUUAAAAAUGGCUCGAUUUUGUAUUGUUGAGACCUUAAAAGCUCACUGUACAUUUUUCGUGUCUUUUUUAAUGCACUUUUCGUUUAACAAGUCAACAUCAGUUUCUUUUGUUGUAAAAGGGUCAUUGGAAGGUGGCUUUCUUUUCGGAGAAAGUGUUUAUAGCCUUUGGCCUCUGCAAUCGAAGAGACUGAGGUCUGCAGCGUAGACUCUUCGGGGUUAGAUACAUUUGUGCUAAGUUAUAGCUUUUUAUAGACAACUUGUUGACUAUAAUUAGUCUUGUAGCUUACUCGCUUAUGCUAUUUUACCUACGCUUAGGAUGUUGAAGAUGUAGCACAUCAU